Streptococcus lutetiensis 033 is the source of this 110-nucleotide non-coding RNA. The record is from Rfam. Lineage: Bacteria; Bacillati; Bacillota; Bacilli; Lactobacillales; Streptococcaceae.
UUCAAGGGAGUAGCAGACGGGUAAAACCCGUGACAUGGUCGUCAUUACGAAAGAAAUUUCCGGCCCUGUCUUAAACAGCGAGACUUGUUUUAAAAAACAGGUCUCUUUUU